Molecule: long non-coding RNA, 881 nt
Filed under: Canis lupus familiaris (dog)
Lineage: Eukaryota; Metazoa; Chordata; Mammalia; Carnivora; Canidae
Description: lncRNA (ENSCAFG00040009381.1)
Source: RNAcentral
CCACUGUGGUCGGCGUCCUCUGUCCCCGGGUCAGCACACGGGGCGUCCUCACUGUGGUCAGCGUCCCCAUCCCCCGGGGUCAGCACACCGGGUGUCCUCACUGUGGUCGGCAUCCUCCAUCCCUGGGUCAGCAUACAGGAUGUCCCCAGUGUGGUCGGGGACCUCCGUCCCCCAGGUCGGCACACGGGGUGUCCCCGCUGUGGUCGGCGUCCUCUGUCCCCGGGUCAGCAUACAGGAUGUCCCCGGUGUGGUCGGCGUCCUCCGUCCCCCGGGUCAGCACACGGAAGUGUCCCCACUGUGGUCGGCGUCCUCUGUCCCCAGGUCGGCACUCAGGGUGUCCCCGGCGUGGUCGGCGUCCUCCGUCCCCCGGGUCAGCACACGGAAGUGUCCCCACUGUGGUCGGCGUCCUCUCUCCCCAGGUCGGCACUCAGGGUGUCCCCGGCGUGGUCGGCGUCCUCCGUCCCCCGGGUCAGCACACGGAAGUGUCCUCACUGUGGUCGGCGUCCUCUGUCCCCAGCUCAGCACUCAGGGUGUCCCCAGUAUGGUCGGCGUCCUCCGUCCCCCGCGUCAACACACGGAGGUGUCCUCACUGUGGUCCGCGUCCUCCGUCCCCAGUUUCUUUAGCUGGCAGAGGCAAUUCAGGAUUUUCAAACGUGACCUUUAUUCCUGUUGUCUCAGAGAUAUGGUCAGUGCCCCGAUGCCAAGGUCUGUGUGGUAGCCAGAGCUUCAGGUUCAGCAGAAUCCUUGCCGCACUGCUGGAAGCCAGGAUCCAAGGCAUCCGUGUGACCUGGAAUGAGCUGAGGCGUGGUGAAGAGGUAUUGGGAGGAGGCGAGAGAAGGGUUUUUAUGGUCCAGAAUGAUUCCAUUGCCAGCAUCUUCUGA